Molecule: ribosomal RNA, 580 nt
Filed under: Trichoderma harzianum
Lineage: Eukaryota; Fungi; Ascomycota; Sordariomycetes; Hypocreales; Hypocreaceae
Description: eukaryotic LSU rRNA
Rfam family: 5.8S ribosomal RNA (bases 209-362)
Source: RNAcentral
GUUUCAUGGGGUUUUUUCCACCUCCCCAAAACCCCACUAUUUCAGAACCCAAGUUUUUCUUUGCGGGCAUUUCUUCCCCCGCGGGGGUUGGGCAACCCCGAACCCAGGGGGGGGCAGGGGAGACUACCACAAACUUUUUUUUUUAGCCGCCCUCACCCUAAUGUGAGCAUUGUUGGCCCCUCUCGUCGCCCUCUGGAGAAUGAAUGAAAAAAUACAACAACGGAUCUCUCGGUUCUGGCAUCGAUGAAGAACGCAGCGAAAUGCGAUAAGUAAUGUGAAUUGCAGAAUUCAGUGAAUCAUCGAAUCUUUGAACGCACAUUGCGCCCGCCAGUAUUCUGGCGGGCAUGCCUGUCCGAGCUUCAUUUCAACCCUCGAACCCCUCCGGGGGGUCGGCGGUGGGGAUCGGCCCUGCCUCUUGGCGGUGACCGUCUCCGAAAUACAGUGGCGGUCUCGCCGCAGCCUCUCCUGCGCAGUAGUUUGCACACUCGCAUCGGGAGCGCGGCGCGUCCACAGCCGUUAAACACCCAACUUUCUGAAAUGUGACGACUCGGAUCAGGUAGGAAUACCCGCGAACUACCUU